This 639-nucleotide ribosomal RNA is filed under the name Acholeplasma sp. RNAcentral describes it as "bacterial SSU rRNA". It matches the Rfam family "Bacterial small subunit ribosomal RNA", at positions 889 to 1533 of the family's 1533-position model. The record is from RNAcentral. Lineage: Bacteria; Bacillati; Mycoplasmatota; Mollicutes; Acholeplasmatales; Acholeplasmataceae.
CAAGGCUGAAACUCAAAGGAAUUGACGGGCACCCGCACAAGCGGUGGAGCAUGCUGUUUAAUUCGAAGAUACGCGAAGAACCUUACCUAGACUUGACAUCCCCGGCAAAGCUAUAGAAAUAUAGUCGAGGUUACCCGGGUGACAGGUGGUGCAUGGUUGUCGUCAGCUCGUGUCGUGAGAUGUUCGGUUAAGUCCGAUAACGAGCGCAACCCUUGUCAUUAGUUACUAACAUUCAGUUGAGUUCUCUAAUGAGACUGCCGAUGAUAAAUCGGAGGAAGGUGGGGAUGACGUCAAAUCAUCAUGCCCCUUACGUCUAGGGCUACAGGCGUGCUACAAUGGCCGAUACAAAAAGAAGCGAUACCGUGAGGUGGAGCAAAUCUCUAAAAUCGGUCUCAGUUCGGAUUGGAGUCUGCAACUCGACUCCAUGAAGUUGGAAUCGCUAGUAAUCCUGAAUCAGAAUGUCAGGGUGAAUACGUUCCCGGGUGUUGUACACACCGCCCGUCACGCUAUGGGAGUCUGUAAUACCCGAAGUCGAUAGCCUAACCUUUUAGGAGGGGGUCGAUGAAGGUAGGACAGGUGACUGGAGUGAAGUCGUAACAAGGUAUCCUUACCGGAAGGUGAGGAUGGAUCACCUCCUUU